AUGGAUUGAACAUGAUGUGGUACUUGGAGCAUAUCUUUCACUCCAGAAGUCUAAUUGACAUGAUUCUUGAGCCAUUAAAAAAUUAAAAGACAGGGAUAAAUCUUUCAUGUUUACCAUGUUGCCCAGUUUGGAUCAUAUCAAGGUGCAAAUUGCAUUGGACAAUGCUCAACAGAUGCAGUUCAACACAAGGCAGUAGGGCGACUAAGGCCGCGACGUUGAAGGAACCACUGCCUCAGCGCUGGAAAUUUGUGGCUGCCGCACUAGGCUAAAUGGGUGCAUCAUACAAAAAUCGGAGAGCCCUGUGCCAUGGCGUUAAAGAAGUAGUGUCGUGGUGCUACCAAAGUCUGUCUUGGCGCCGUAGUGCCAAGAAAUCAUGGCAGCGACGCUACCCCUAGUCCUGUUGUUAUCUACUAAAAUUAACGCAUCUUAAUUUUAUUCAAACAACCAAAUUAAAUUAUUA
This 460-nucleotide long non-coding RNA is filed under the name Theobroma cacao (cacao). RNAcentral describes it as "long non-coding RNA (TCAC_LNC000293)". Lineage: Eukaryota; Viridiplantae; Streptophyta; Magnoliopsida; Malvales; Malvaceae. The record is from RNAcentral.